UGCAGUGUUCCACAUCUACCACCCUGUAAAGGUCACAGUGGGAGCCCAGCUUUGCUCUGUGCCUCCACCAACAGCUGAGCAAGGUUUUGGCUGGCCUCCCACCCUCUGCCCUUAGUCAUCCUGCAGUCUGGGGAUGCACGAUCUGGAUGGCAAAAGAGCGAGCUCAUGCUACUGAACCCUCCUUAUGAUGCAGCUCUUAUGCCUAAUUCAUCAGGCACCUUGGAGAGCCAUCAACUCAUCAACAGCCACAUGCAUAUGAGACAUGAACUCUGGACAGAAGUGAGCAGAUUUCAGUAAGGGAGCCUGGUGCCUGCUGAACACCCUUUUUUGCACCAGAAGAGUUGCCAAAAGAGGAAAGAACAUGAAAGACAUAGAGCAAAAGCAAUCCUGAUAGCAAGAAAU
This 402-nucleotide long non-coding RNA is filed under the name Cyanistes caeruleus (blue tit). Its description in RNAcentral is "lncRNA (ENSCCEG00000019331.1)". The record is from RNAcentral. Lineage: Eukaryota; Metazoa; Chordata; Aves; Passeriformes; Paridae.